GGUCCUGUCUAGCUCAACUGAGAGCAUGGCCUUAUCACUGCCAGGGUUAAGGGUUCGAUUCCCACUGGGGCCA
Molecule: non-coding RNA, 73 nt
Organism: Merluccius polli (Benguela hake)
Lineage: Eukaryota; Metazoa; Chordata; Actinopteri; Gadiformes; Merlucciidae
Source: the annotation of a GenBank genome assembly